This is a long non-coding RNA of Lepisosteus oculatus (spotted gar), 400 nucleotides long. RefSeq lists it as uncharacterized. Lineage: Eukaryota; Metazoa; Chordata; Actinopteri; Semionotiformes; Lepisosteidae. The record is from RefSeq and is a predicted model, not a curated record.
AACCAAAGCACAAUCGACGGGAUGCUGUCACUCUUCAAAAAAGGGUUAUAUUCCGCAAAUUAUCACUGCAAAUUAGUGAACAUUUAACAAUAUGCUAAAAAAAAACCUUGCAAAAUAACCUGGUGAUAAAAAAUUAUAUCACACCACAAAUCAGAAAAUUGCAAACAUACUUAAUAGACCACAAAGGCUUCUGUCACAGCAAUGAGCAACAUAGUGCCUCACCUAACCAUCUCCAAACCCUCAACAUAGUUUCCUGCCAAAGAUAAGAGAGAAAGGGAUCCACAUGAAAGGCUGUUCCUGGUGGGAUUUAUCCUCUCUUGCUUGUGACAUAAGACAGAUUUCAAUUCAGUCUUCCACAAAAUAUGAGAUGUUUACUGAAUGAACCCAGUAUGGAACUGAG